This is a long non-coding RNA of Drosophila navojoa, 239 nucleotides long. NCBI's taxonomy places the organism in Eukaryota, Metazoa, Arthropoda, Insecta, Diptera, Drosophilidae. The record is from RefSeq and is a predicted model, not a curated record.
UUACUAUUAUUAUAACUAUUAUGAUUACAACAAUUAUUAUUAUUCUAUUACUAUUAUUACAAUUAUCAUAUGUUAUACUUGAUUAACUUAAGUGCUAACAAAAUCAACCAAAAACAAAAACAAAAACAAAAGCAAAAAACAAUUAACAAAACACGGGCCAAUAAAGCGUAGCAUAGCAAUCCGCAUACCCUAAAUAUAUAUAUGUAUAUUUAUGUAUAUAUAUAUACAUAUAUAUGUAU